GCCUCUCGGAGUUGGAAUAAACGCUUUGAUAGUGUGAUCAAAGCAUUUGGUUUUAUACAGACUUUCGGAGAAGCCUGUAUUUACAAGAAAGUGAGUGGGAGCUCUGUAGUAUUUCUGAUAUUAUAUGUGGAUGACAUAUUACUAAUUGGAAAUGAUAUAGAAUUUCUGGAUAGCAUAAAGGGAUACUUGAAUAAGAGUUUUUCAAUGAAAGACCUCGGUGAAGCUGCUUACAUAUUAGGCAUUAAGAUCUAUAGAGAUAGAUCAAGACGCUUAAUUAGACUUUCACAAAGCACAUACCUUGACAAAGUUUUGAAGAAGUUCAAAAUGGAUCAAGCAAAGAAAGGAUUCUUGCCUGUGUUACAAGGUGUGAAGUUGAGUAAGACUCAAUGCCCGACCACUGUAGAAGAUAGAGAGAAAAUGAAAGAUGUUCCCUAUGCUUCAGCCAUAGGCUCUAUCAUGUAUGCAAUGCUGUAUACCAGACCUGAUGUGUGCCUUGCUAUAAGUUUAGCAGGGAGGUACCAAAGUAAUCCAGGAGUGGAUCACUGGACAGCGGUCAAGAACAUCCUGAAAUACCUGAAAAGGACUAAGGAUAUGUUUCUCGUAUAUGGAGGUGACAAAGAGCUCACCGUAAAAGGUUACGUUGAUGCAAGCUUUGACACUGAUCCGGACGAUUCUAAAUCGCAAACUGGAUACGUGUUUACAUUAAACGGUGGAGCUGUCAGUUGGUGCAGUUCUAAACAAAGCGUC
RNAcentral lists this ribosomal RNA (747 nucleotides) under Triticum aestivum (bread wheat). Its description in RNAcentral is "partial small subunit ribosomal RNA". The record is from RNAcentral. Lineage: Eukaryota; Viridiplantae; Streptophyta; Magnoliopsida; Poales; Poaceae.